RNAcentral lists this ribosomal RNA (63 nucleotides) under Senecio hispidissimus. Its description in RNAcentral is "partial 25S ribosomal RNA". It matches the Rfam family "Eukaryotic large subunit ribosomal RNA", at positions 1 to 62 of the family's 3401-position model. The record is from RNAcentral. Lineage: Eukaryota; Viridiplantae; Streptophyta; Magnoliopsida; Asterales; Asteraceae.
GCGACCCCAGGCCAGGCGGGACUACCCGCUGAGUUUAAGCAUAUCAAUAAGCGGAGGAAAAGA